UUUCUUUUUGGUUUACUACAGGGACUUGCAUUAUUAAACAUUGUAUUAUGCAAGCUUUUGGACAAAAGUUUGAAGGAUUUUCAUAGGAAGAUAAACUUUGCAUUCCGGCUCGUUGAACUUUACCAGCCCUACCUCUUUUUCAAUGGAGUGUAAGUAACUUAAUUAUCAGUUUCUCACUAUGUUAUUUGUUCUCUAAUCUAAUGUGGUUUGAGAUCUAAAACAAAUGUUGUGCAGAUUUGAUGAUACAAACACGGAAAAGCUGCAAGGAAUUGUGUUGAAGACAGAAGCCGAAACCGAGAUGUUCUGUUUUGAUCCAACAGUUAUCAAUUGGGACGACUAUUUUGUGGAUAUACAUGUUCCUGGACUGGUUAAGUACGUUUUCUAAUGAUCUCAUUUGUGUAACCUUUGUUUUAUCAUGUUCCAACGAGUAUAAACUGUGUGGAAAAUAUAGUACUCGUUGAUCUGUUUUUAUUCGGCUACGUUUUCAAACUUGGGAUGUUGCUAUUUAAAUGUUUACUUUCAGCAUUUGCAUAUCUAUAAUGGAACUAUAAUUUUUCAAUAAAAUUUUAUAUGACGUCUUAUGUUCUCUAUAUGAGUUAAUAGUAUCCAUUAUCCAAUAUUGAAAAUAACAGUCCUUCCAUUUUAUAAUAAUAAUAAUAAUCUGAAAGGCGAAUAACCUCUUUGACAUGAUGUUCUUCGCAACUUCAUCAUUGACAAAACACCUACCAGAAACUAAAUGGUAUGAACAUAGUGUUUGCACAUGGUAGUACUAGUAUCGAACCCUAACCUAUCACCAGUACAUGUUUUUUAUUUUCAGGGCAUCUCCAAUUUCACUAUAUUUUCUACUCUAAAAUAGAGUCCAAAAUAAAAAUAUUCUAAUGGUACUCUAUUUUUCACUAUAUAAUAGAGUAAAAAAUGGGUAAAUGACGUCAACAUAUUUCCACACCACAAAUAUCAUAUAGUAACAAUUCCACGCAAUCUUUCAUCCAUUAUGCAAGCUUUUGGACAAAAGUUUGAAGGAUUUUCAUAGGAAGAUAAACUUUGCAUUCCGGCUCGUUGAACUUUACCAGCCCUACCUCUUUUUCAAUGGAGUGUAAGUAACUUAAUUAUCAGUUUCUCACUAUGUUAUUUGUUCUCUAAUCUAAUGUGGUUUGAGAUCUAAAACAAAUGUUGUGCAGAUUUGAUGAUACAAACACGGAAAAGCUGCAA
RNAcentral lists this long non-coding RNA (1209 nucleotides) under Brassica napus (rape). Its description in RNAcentral is "long non-coding RNA (BNAP_LNC009172)". Lineage: Eukaryota; Viridiplantae; Streptophyta; Magnoliopsida; Brassicales; Brassicaceae. The record is from RNAcentral.